This is a non-coding RNA of Zootoca vivipara (common lizard), 361 nucleotides long. Lineage: Eukaryota; Metazoa; Chordata; Lepidosauria; Squamata; Lacertidae. The record is from RefSeq and is a predicted model, not a curated record.
UGCCCUUUUUCUCUUAUGGGAUAUCCAAGAGCUUGUAUAGAGUCCUUAAGUGGGUUCCCUAUCGGUAGGAGAAACUAAAAGGGGCCAGCCAGAGAAUAUUCGGAAGCAAAGCAGCAGGGUGAAUACCAGCUUGGAUCCACACUUGUGUGUGAACUGACCCUGAAUCACAUGUUAUCCGUACAAGUUGAGAUGCACCUGCUCCCCUGCCCUGCACACAGGAUUCAUGGCCAGACUAGACUAACAUCUUGCCUGGAUCAUCCAAAGGAAUCUCCCUUGUCUUUUCCUAGCAGGAAGAUGAUAUUGCCAAAAGAGAAGAAGAAUCAUAGUCAUAGAGUUGGAAGAGACCACAAGGGCCAUCCAG